AAUAUCAGAAGGAUAUUAAAGGGCUUCCUGUGAAGCAAGGUAGUGCAUAGGACUGAUGGUAGAAGCUUCCUUCAGAGCCACUCUGAAGAGGAAAUAUCAUCAUAUAGUUUGGAAGGAAAUCUUGGAAGAAGCCCAAACGGAACACUGCAAAAUUUUCUUCCAUCUAGAUACUCCAAGUCAAACUGCAUGUUUUCUGGAGAUCCGCAAACUAUUGUAAUCUCAUUUGCCUUUUGGUGCCAACUCCUGGCCCUUGCUCUUUUCCAUUCUGGAACCAGCAGGCCUUGUUGAAGGCACAGUUGCUGACUGUGACGUGUUUGCUCUCUCUUUGCACUUCCUAUCCUUUCAGAGAUCAUUGUCAUCACAGGACAAGGAUGGUGGGAGAACCAUUGCUGCAGAGCCUUGUGGGAACUGGAAAACCUUGGAUCUGGUAUACCACAGAAGCAGAAGCCAGGUCUGUAUUGAUCUCACCUGAAUGGUGCUCACUAGCAAGUGGAAGAUUGGCAUCGUGCAGUGAAGAAUCAGUCCUCAUCCAUCUUUCACCAUCCUCGAAGAUACAGACUUGGUUUACUUUGCAUCUGGGUAGAUGAAGGCGUAAAGACAGGGUGUGUAAAUUGAUAAUGGAACAAGUGUAUUUGGUUUUGUUCAUGCCUCUUGCUAGUAAGCCUAAACCUCUUCAGAGCAAUGGCUCAUAAGUGUGUGUAAAGGAGAAAGUGGUGAAGGCAGGGGUCAGAUAGCAAGCAGAUUUCAUUCAGCCAAACAUACACAUGUAAGCAAGUCUUUCUAAAACAAUUUAAAGAACAAGCAGUCCAAAAUUGGGUGCAUGUGUGGGGGAAGAAUAUCACAAGAUUCAUAUUGAAACAGUAAACUUAGGGACACGUCUUGGUUUUAAAACCCCAGACAUUUCUCUCUUUAUUAUAAUUAUUAUUAUUUUGUGUGUGUGUGUGUGUGUAUCUGUGUGCGUGUGUGCGUUAUUUCCUUUUUAAUUUUGCUUGCUUUCUGUUUGAUCGCUGAGCUGAUGGACUCAUCAUGCACCUUAUGGACAUCUCAGCAUUUUUUAAGAGGCCUGCGCAAUGGGGAUGAUUUGGUUUGGUUGGCUCUGCCAUGGUUUUGUUGAUCCAUUUUGUAAUGUUGGGGCAUGUUCCAGAUCCAUUGAUUAUGGCUGUGAAAGUGGGGUAAAUGUCCCACCAGAGCCAGCAGUAAGAAAACUGCAACAACAACACAAACACAAUAUUUUUUAUAAGUACAUAAAAAGGAAAAUUAAAAAAAAAAAAAAGGAAAGAAA
Meleagris gallopavo (turkey) is the source of this 1282-nucleotide non-coding RNA. NCBI's taxonomy places the organism in Eukaryota, Metazoa, Chordata, Aves, Galliformes, Phasianidae. The record is from RefSeq and is a predicted model, not a curated record.